Populus euphratica (Euphrates poplar) is the source of this 2613-nucleotide long non-coding RNA. RefSeq lists it as uncharacterized. The transcript is spliced from 4 exons. The record is from RefSeq and is a predicted model, not a curated record. NCBI's taxonomy places the organism in Eukaryota, Viridiplantae, Streptophyta, Magnoliopsida, Malpighiales, Salicaceae.
GUUCGUUAAUUGGGUUUUGCUUUUCAAAAGCUGCUGCAGAAUUAAUUCACUUUUAUGUUGAUGGUAUUUGGAGAUUGAAUAGCACUUUUUCUUAGGAUUUAUUUGUGUGUGAGAUUUUAUUAUAGAAAUUGUCAUUUAAUUGGCAGUCAUGAGUUGUUGUCUUUGGUGAAGAAACACUCCAAGUUGUUAGGGAGAAGAAUUAGCUAGUUUUGUUUUUCUGUUGAUAAUGAACCGUGAUGUUGUAGAGAAUACGAGGAUAUGAUUUCAAUGAUAAAGUGGAUAGUACCGCUCCUUACUUUGUACGCAGUUGGGCACCUAAGGUAAAGAAGCAGCAUACAAUCGUGCCUUGGCUUGAUUUUGCACGAGGGAAAGUUGUUGGUUGGUUGUUUGUGGACUUCUGCCCAUAGCACGCUCAAGUAUAUGGUACUUAGACGUGACCUUUUUGUAAGUGGAAGAGUUGAUUUUGCUAAGGUGCUCACUAAAUUUACUUUCUCAACUAGUUGGAUAAUUUAGUCAGUGAAAGUUCAGCAGAUGUGGAUUGGAGGCACUCGUUUUAGUUGAAUUUGGUUUCACAUUCAUUAUACACAGUAACUGUGGCAAUUUGCAGAUAUUUCGUUCCUCACAUCAUAUCUUUACGUUCAACUUUAUGUAUAGUAUUUGCAGUAUUGCUAAAUAUUGCUCUGGAACUAGAGAAAAAAAUUGAAAUUUAAGAUUUUUCACCUGCUUAAAAAAAGUCUGUGCUGUUAGAAUACGAAUUAAUCCUAAAAUGGCAAGGUUUAUUAGCCAUGUUCCAAAGAACUCUGUGAUUGUGGAUUCUUGUUUGUUGAUUUUGUUUUCAGUCAACAAGUCCUUCGAAAUCAUCAAGCUGGUUAAGAUACACAGUUGUCUCCUAUAUAUAAGCUGGCAAGUCUUGAUUUGGGAGUCUUCUUGGUCAAUCCCCUGGGAAAACAGACAGACUCCACAUGAAAGGUCCAGGAGGACGGGGGGAAGUUGAAGUAGCUGUUUCUGGUGUUGCAGAUCAAAGCCAGCACGAUGGUGGCCCCUUUUCACCUGUUACUUUAAAGAAAGGAUUUGGGAUUGGCUCAGUUUUUUGAAAAGCAGCAUCUGUGGCAGAAAGCAUGAUCUUCUGAUGACGAGAUGUUGCCCCUCAAAUGCUGCUUAAUGUCCAUAUCAUUGCCCUGGGAAUAUAUCGUUUAUGAUCUUUUUAUUCAAGGUAAAAUCACUGUUUUUGCUUUUUUAUUCUUAAUGAAGAUAGGUUCAAUUUUUGAUUGUGUAAUUGUAUUACUCUUUACUAGAAGCGUCUUUAUUUCUAUAAUCUUUCUCAUUUUGCUAUUAGCUGUGCCAAUUGGUAAGCUUAAACUCAGUGUUGCAAUUUUAGGUUAUGAACAUUAUCUUUCCAUGUUCAUUCUUCUGUUGGGGGCUGGUACUGAUUUCCUCACAUGUACAAAAAUAGUGUUAAUGCAUUUAUUAAUUGCAAUAUCAGGGAAGUCCUCUAAAUAUACUACAUUAUCACUUGUGAAAAUUUACAAGGGACCAAGUGGUCGCCUGCAAGUGGAAAUUUAGUGUGGGAUUAGCAACUUUCGGAUGAUAAGCUUUAAUGGAACUUGUAAUUUAAGUAGUGGAUGAGAAUUCCCUUAAGUAGUGUUAUAGGGCUGUAUUGUGAUGUUGUGAUAAUCAAUCACGCAACUAAUGUAAGCGCCAGGUGAUGAUUUCCACUCUCGAACUUCAAUAGGCGUCCUUUUCAUUUAAAGCAGCCGAAUGUUUGACAUUUUAGCAGCGCAUUGGAUCAUUUGCCGGAUCAAAUUUGAACCUCAGCAACUCUUUUGUUGGAUGAAAUCUGAUGUCAGAAUCAUGUUGUCUAUGUGUCGUUUACAUAUUAAAAUCCAUUCCUACCAGGUUCAAUGUAUAGUUCUGUAAAGAAAGAAAAGCUCCGCAGGUACUUAUCAGGAUUUGAGGAUUUAAAUGUAAACUUGCUUGUGCGGGGAUGCUGCGACCAAUUAGCAUACCGGAUGCUAAUAAAGGCAAGAACUGGACGAUUCCCUUCGGCCUAUCCUCAUUAGUAGUUGGAUCUUUUCUGCCUAUGUCCAAGACUUUCCAAGACGCCCUUUUCCGUGCAGCUUAAGGUUUCUCCUUUUAUUAGCUGACGGGAGACUGUUGGUUCAUUCUCUUGCUUAUCUGAGUAGCUUUAUUCCAAUUCCUUGGCGUAUAAGCUUUGUCCCUUCCAUCGAAUGGUAUUCAAUAUUCUCCUCGCGAAACGGAUGCAGCUAAAGAAUUCGCCAAAAUAGUACGCAACCUUGUGUUAUUUGUUGUGCUCUCAUUUACGAGUCAAUGUCAUAUUGCUACGAUGCCUGUCGCGUAUAAAUUGAAUGUUUUGCCAUUUUCACGCUUUGUGUUUGUGUCUCUGGUGCCAAAGAAGUUGAUGAAAAGGAGAAUAAGAGGAGCGAAUAAAAAUUAUUUAUAACGUAAUUAACUGUAGAAUAAGCAUUUGAAUCAGAAACUGAUGUGGAAGCACGGGAGCCUUAGAUGAUUAGUGUACGCUUUUUAAUGCAGUUUUUAUUUUGUCGACAAUUCAAUGUAAGAAAUACAGAACACAUCCAUUUAAUGAUGAUUUUU